Molecule: ribosomal RNA, 493 nt
Filed under: uncultured bacterium
Lineage: Bacteria
Description: partial 16S ribosomal RNA
Rfam family: Bacterial small subunit ribosomal RNA
Source: RNAcentral
ACGAACGCUGGCGGCGUGCCUAAUACAUGCAAGUAGAACGCUGAAGGAGGAGCUUGCUUCUCUGGAUGAGUUGCGAACGGGUGAGUAACGCGUAGGUAACCUGCCUGGUAGCGGUGGAUAACUAUUGGAAACGAUAGCUAAUACCGCAUAAGAGUAGAUGUUGCAUGACAUUUGCUUAAAAGGUGCAAUUGCAUCACUACCAGAUGGACCUGCGUUGUAUUAGCUAGUUGGUGGGGUAACGGCUUACCAAGGCGACGAUACAUAGCCGACCUGAGAGGGUGAUCGGCCACACUGGGACUGAGACACGGCCCAGACUCCUACGGGAGGCAGCAGUAGGGAAUCUUCGGCAAUGGACGGAAGUCUGACCGAGCAACGCCGCGUGAGUGAAGAAGGUUUUCGGAUCGUAAAGCUCUGUUGUAAGAGAAGAACGAGUGUGAGAGUGGAAAGUUCACACUGUGACGGUAUCUUACCAGAAAGGGACGGCUAACUACGU